UGGAAGUAGCUCAGCUGGUUCAGAGCACCUCGUUUACACCAAGUGGGGCGUCCCGAUUUCCAAUCGGGAUCAUUUCAUCCA
This 81-nucleotide transfer RNA is filed under the name Pedobacter sp. D749. RNAcentral describes it as "tRNA-Val". Lineage: Bacteria; Pseudomonadati; Bacteroidota; Sphingobacteriia; Sphingobacteriales; Sphingobacteriaceae. The record is from RNAcentral.